CAUAGAGUCUGCUCUAGAAGAGAAUUGAACAAUGGACUCUGGUGCAAACAACCAUCUCACAACAUAAGAAGGCAACAUCUCUCAAAAGUCAAAUUAUUAUGGCACUGACAAAAUUAUAAUUGGCAAUGGAUAUCCACACGAAACAGAUUUUGUUUCAAGGCUCGAGUCUACACCAUGCCACUUCAAAUUAAAUCCUUGCCGCCACCGCAAGCCAACACUGCUACUUUGAGUACUUGGCAUGCUUGAUUGGGUCAUGCCAAUGAUAGAGUUCUUCAUAAAGUUCUUUCCCAUUAUAAUUUGUUAUCUGUUAGGAAUAAAAAUUGUGAUGUCCUUUGCAAUGCAUGCAACAUUAGCAAAACGCAUAAACUUUCUUUUUCUAAAUAUAACGAUAAAAUUACUAGACCUCUUGAAUUAAUUUGUUCUAAUGUUUGGGGAC
Molecule: unclassified non-coding RNA, 436 nt
Filed under: Hevea brasiliensis (rubber tree)
Lineage: Eukaryota; Viridiplantae; Streptophyta; Magnoliopsida; Malpighiales; Euphorbiaceae
Source: RNAcentral